Molecule: ribosomal RNA, 1387 nt
Filed under: uncultured bacterium
Lineage: Bacteria
Description: 16S ribosomal RNA
Rfam family: Bacterial small subunit ribosomal RNA
Source: RNAcentral
UUCGCCCUUAGAGUUUGAUCCUGGCUCAGGAUGAACGCUGGCGGCGUGCCUAACACAUGCAAGUCGAACGGGGAUACUUCAGUAGUAAUACCGAGGUCAUCCUAGUGGCGGACGGGUGAGUAACGCGUGAGCAACCUGCCUUUCAGAGGGGGACAACAGCUGGAAACGGCUGCUAAUACCGCAUAAUAUAUUUGGGCGGCAUCGUCUAAAUAUCAAAGAUUUUAUCGCUGAAAGAUGGGCUCGCGUCUGAUUAGCUAGUUGGUGGGGUAAAGGCCUACCAAGGCGACGAUCAGUAGCCGGACUGAGAGGUUGAACGGCCACAUUGGGACUGAGAUACGGCCCAGACUCCUACGGGAGGCAGCAGUGGGGAAUAUUGGUCAAUGGGGGAAACCCUGAACCAGCAACGCCGCGUGAAGGAAGAAGGCUUUCGGGUUGUAAACUUCUUUGACAGGGGACGAAACAAAUGACUGUACCCUGAAAACAAGCCACGGCUAACUACGUGCCAGCAGCCGCGGUAAUACGUAGGUGGCGAGCGUUAUCCGGAUUUACUGGGUGUAAAGGGCGCGUAGGCGGGCAUGCAAGUCAGAUGUGAAAUCUAUGGGCUUAACCCAUAGCGUGCAUUUGAAACUGUGUGUCUUGAGUGAUGGAGAGGUAAGUGGAAUUCCUAGUGUAGCGGUGGAAUGCGUAGAUAUUAGGAGGAACACCAGUGGCGAAGGCGACUUACUGGACAUCUACUGACGCUGAGGCGCGAAAGCGUGGGGAGCAAACAGGAUUAGAUACCCUGGUAGUCCACGCCGUCCCCUAAAUGCACCGGUUUCCGGCGACACACAGUCGGGAGCCGCGCAAACGUAAAAGUGAGCCACCCUGGGGAGUACGUCGGCAACGAUGAAACUCAGAGGAAUUGACGGGGGCCCGCACAAGCGGAGGAACAUGUGGUUUAAUUCGAUGAUACGCGAGGAACCUUACCCGGGAUUAAAUGUUGGGUGCAUGAUGGAGAAAUCCAUCUUUCCUUCGGGACUUCCAACAAGGUGCUGCAUGGUUGUCGUCAGCUCGUGCCGUGAGGUGUCGGGUUAAGUCCCAUAACGAGCGCAACCCUUUCCGUCAGUUGCCAUCGGUUCAUGCCGGGCACUCUGUCGGGACUGCCGCCGUAAGGUGCGAGGAAGGAGGGGAUGACGUCAAAUCAGCACGGCCCUUAUAUCCGGGGCGACACACGUGUUACAAUGGCCGGUACAGGGGGCAGCUACCAAGUGAUUGGAUGCAAAUCUCCAAAGCCGGUCUCAGUUCGGAUCGGAGUCUGCAACCCGACUCCGUGAAGUUGGAUUCGCUAGUAAUCGCGCAUCAGCCAUGGCGCGGUGAAUACGAUCCCGGGCCUUGCACACACCGCCCG